Prunus dulcis (almond) is the source of this 2242-nucleotide RNA transcript. It is a transcript of the gene named MATH domain and coiled-coil domain-containing protein At3g58370-like, with no coding region annotated. NCBI's taxonomy places the organism in Eukaryota, Viridiplantae, Streptophyta, Magnoliopsida, Rosales, Rosaceae. The record is from RefSeq and is a predicted model, not a curated record. The transcript is spliced from 6 exons.
AAAAAAAAAUUAGAGCAGCAGAGUCUCUGAGUCCGCCUCUGAGUUGUUGGAAUCUUCGAUGGGAAGAAAGAAAAAGUAUAAUAAGGUUAAGAAGGAGCAGGUGUUGUUGUGCUGGAGCUUUCCUCACCAUGGCUGGUACAAGCUCAACGUGGAUGGGAGCUACCGCAGUGGAUCUGGGUGCAUUGCAGGAGGUGGUGUGAUCAGAAAUCAAGAAGGAGAAUGGUUAUCUGGGUUUGCUGCAAAUUUGGGAACAGGCAAAGUUAUUGAAGCAGAGCUUUGGGCCUUAUACAGAGGCUUGGAGCUUGCUUGGAAAUCUGGGUUGGCCCCACUUGAGGUGGAAACUGACUCAACCACUGUUUUGAAGCUUAUGCAUAACCCAGUUGAGGUUAAUUGGAAACACCCUCAGUUUAACUUGAUCAAGAGCUGCCAGAAUCUCCUUAACCAAAGCUGGAUAUGUUCUCUGAAUCAUGCAUAUUGGCAGCAAAACAGUGUAGCUGAUUGUCUAGCUAAUUUUGGGCUGACUAUGGAGCUGGGGUGCCAUUAUUUUGAUGUUCCUCCACCUCUCUGUGAGCCUUUUUUAGUUCAGGAUAUCUCUAGGGUUGCUCAACCCAGGUUUCUUCCUCCCUCUGUCAUAGAAUACAGAAAAAUAAAGAAAUUGGAGGAAGUGGAUAUUCACAUGGAAAAUCUUGCAUCUGUUAUAUUCACAUGGAAAGUUGACAACUUCUUUAAGUUGGAUGCUGUCAAGUAUUACUCUGAUGUCUUUGUCAUCGGUGUUUUUGAAUGGCGAAUCCUUAUGUAUCCAAGGGGGAACAAUGUAGACUACUUGUCGGUUUAUCUGGAUGUUACAGGUUCUUCAACAUUGCCAUUAGGGUGGGCUAGACAUGCGCGAUUCAGCUUGACCAUCGUUAAUCAACUUCAAAGCAGCGAGUCUUUAACAAAGGAUACUGAACAUGUGUUCAAUAAAAGUGACAGUAACUCGGGCUUCACAUCAUUAAUUCCUCUAAGUGAGUUUUGUGACCAUAGUAAAGGAUAUGUUGUGAAUGACACAUGUAUCAUUGAAGCCAAGGUUGCAGUCCAUAAGUCUGAAAUUAAGAUUUUAGAAGAACAAAAAACUCGUAGAAUUCCAGAUUGAUCAGCAGCAAAUAAGGCACCAUGUUACGAGAAGGUGUCUGCCUUCCAGGAGGAACCAAGUUCUGAGAAGGUUUGCACCGAUAGCCCUGCUAAUCCUCCCAUUGUCAUGGAACACGAGGAUGCAUCGUCCACACCAGCUGGGGAGCUCAUGGUUUUCAGGGGUUUAAGUGUAAAACAGAAAAAGCUUUUGCUCCGCUGCCCUAUGAAGUUUGUUCCUGGCAUCCUUCUUUAAUAGAAUUCCAAAAGAAGAGAAGUCACAUGUCCACUGAGUGGGCAUUCACAGCUUCAAUCUGACUCCUGCAUUUUUUGAAGAAUACAGAAAAGGUCAAGGAUAUGACAGAUGAUGUCUCUGAGCACCUUAAACUUUUAUGGGAGGAGCUUGAGACCUUCAGGUUUGACUUGGCUUGGCUGGGGCCCCCUGUUCAUAGCGCUUUAGGUAUGAAGAAUUUUGUGGAAACGGUAGGGCAACGGAAAAGACUGAGAGAGGAAAUAGAUGCUUUGGAGAUUAAAACAAAGCGGCUAAAGGCUAAGCUAUUGCUUGCGGAGGUAAAUCUUGAGGUAGCAAUACGAGAUUUCCACAGGGCUGAAUGACGAGAUAGAUAUGGAUGGUGAGUUGGGUAAUGGGAUGUAGAAUUUUCCCUUGACUUGCUGAAGAUAUGCAAUGUACGACACAUAACGCGAAGUUUGACUGGAUUGUUCGGGGUCCCCCUUACUGGAGGCCACCUCUCCCCAAAAGCAAUGCAGCUUAAGGCGUUAAUUGAUGUACUCAAACAGGCCAAGGUUGCUUUGCUUUGUGAAGCUGAUUGAGAAAAGGCCAGGACUUUAGCAUUUGGGCGGGGUAUUGGAGGAAGUUAAGACAAUUGAAGCACACUUUGCACACCAUAUCUUUAGGUAGUUGUAACAUAGUUGCACAAAUCAGUCGGAAAAGCAUGCCUCUUGUUGUAAUCCAUCUUUUAUCUGGACGGAGAAGGGGUGUUUGCUUGCUCCUUUGUGAUAUGUCGAAUGUAUUGAGAAACAUAUAAGACUACUAAUACAAGUUCAUGGUAGAACUUGCGUUUGUAGACUAGCUUGCAAAAGAAUGGUGCCCAAGAGCACACAUACCAGUUCAAGA